UGUUCCUGAAAUGGUGAGAGUGUGCCAAAGU
Molecule: non-coding RNA, 31 nt
Filed under: Mus musculus (house mouse)
Lineage: Eukaryota; Metazoa; Chordata; Mammalia; Rodentia; Muridae
Source: RNAcentral